RNAcentral lists this unclassified non-coding RNA (155 nucleotides) under uncultured Botryosphaeriales. RNAcentral describes it as "sequence contains ITS2". The record is from RNAcentral. Lineage: Eukaryota; Fungi; Ascomycota; Dothideomycetes; Botryosphaeriales.
CACAAAUCAAGCCCUGCUUGGUAUUGGGUGAAGCCCUCUGGGGCCCGCCUCAAACCCCUCGGCGUCGCCGUCCGUCCUCGAGCGCAGCGAGAUAACUUUCCAGCGUUUUCGAGAUGGGCCACGUCCGCCGCAGAACAUACCUUUUUUUCUAUCAA